Molecule: long non-coding RNA, 4930 nt
Organism: Numida meleagris (helmeted guineafowl)
Lineage: Eukaryota; Metazoa; Chordata; Aves; Galliformes; Numididae
Exons: 6
Source: RefSeq, a predicted model, not a curated record
UCCAUCUAGGAAAAGACUAUGGAAAGUGCAUACCAUUUUUUCCAGCUAUACUCUCGGAGACUUUGUAUAUACUUCUUGCUGUUGGGUUUCAAGGAAAGACAUCUGAGCCUUUUCUACUAGGCUUGGUCACUGAAAGGGAUGGGACAGUUGGAAGGUGCAAAAGCGCAACCACAGCUCAGCUCAGUCACGGGGACACUCUACUGGGGAAUAGUUUUCCUUCCAAAUUCCAAAAAUGUAGUCCAGGACCAGCCUUCAGAGGAUUUCUAAAGCAAGUAAUUUAGGAGGGCUGACAUUUCUGAAUUUAGCAAAAGAAUCUUUGUAUGAUAUAAACUUGCUUGUGACAUUCAAGCCAGAGGAUAAUUUCUCCUUUCCUAUUCUGUCUUCCUCAGUAUUUUUAUUUAUUCUUUCCCACAUAUCCAUUUUUUUCUUCUUGCUAGUUGAGGUUAUUUCUCUGAUUUCAGUGGAUAAGUUGAUGCCAUAUUUGUUCUUUGCUCUAUAGGGCUCUGAUAGAAACCAAAUUCAUAUUGUGCACACGCAGUAAACUACAGGCUUAUGGGAAUGAAUUAGAUAACCCGUUUGUCGAUAACAUUUGCACAAUACAGUCUAUUAUGUGUUAAGUUUUGAAGGGGAUGAGAUUUCCUUGCCAAGGUAAAGAUGGUUUCAUUGUAGAUUGAGUGUCUGCUCCAUAGUCUCAUCUUUGGGCUGGUGUACAGGAAGGCAAUCUCUUGUUUAUUCUGCAAUGCUAAGCUGUUUGUUAGAGCAUGCUGUAGUCUCAUUGCCUUUGUGCUGCUUAUCAGAGCUAAUAAAGACUCGUUGCGGUCUGCUGAGCAAACAGAAGGAACAUUAGCUCUCAGUAAAACAAUUUAAUUCUGAAGCUUUGAAUCUUCAUUUAACAAUCAAAGCACGCUGCCUUUCACCAGAAGCACUGCGCUACUGAUUGUUGCCAUAGCAGCUAUAUUGUAUUGGAAAAAUAAGUUUGUGUACCGAGUUAACCACAAAUUUAUUUUUAAACAAAAUUCUGACUGACCUCAGAGGACACCUUGAAUGCUUAAAUUCAAGUAUAUGCCUAAAUAUCUCAUUGGAGUCAAACAAUGAAGUCUCAGAGAUAUUAUUAUGCCUUAAGACAAAAUUUUUAAUUUAGCUGAGUGGAGGUGCCUCUUUAAGAGUCUGUGGCAAAAAAGAAUGGGAACCAUAAUCUGGCAUACAAAGAUAAUAUCCUGAAGUUAAUGAUUGAUUAUUUUGGUAUUAUAUUGUAGAUAGAAACAGUAGAAAAUCACGAGAUGUGCUAGGAUAAAAAUAUAAGGUCACAGUUGCCAUAUACUGUGAAAAAUAGCAAAAUAUUGUGCAAUACAAGAAAGAGCAUGACAGUUGUUUUCAUAGAAAAGUCUUUUUUUUUUGUCCUUAUCAACUAUGGACAUAUGAAUAGCUUCACCAUGGUAAGUCACGUUGCCCUGAGUUUAAGCCAUUGGCAGUUAAAAACAAUGAAACCCUGCCCAGAUGGCCCUGGUGAGUUAGUGGUCAUUGCCUCACACUUUCAAAUACCUUUUUCCUAGUAUACAGGCUACUCAUAUACAAGCAAAUAUUACCAGGUAAUUUGUUCUUGACUUGAGCCUAAGCUUUCAUUGUCUAUUACUUCAGAAGUCUCAGUUCAUCUUGGCCUUGUCUUCAUGCAGGGCAGGAUAAGCAUUUGUUUAUUAGCUCCUGGCAUAUGAGUGCCUUCUUCCUGCUUUGUUCACCUGGAUCCAACAUUUAUCUUCAAAAGCGGAUGAAACAGGAAAAUGCCCGUGUUACUUCUAGGGGAAGGGCUCACUAGAUGGCACUGUGUCACUGUGGGACAAGUCACCUCCAUCUGCUUCUAGGCAGUCUGUAUCAUUGAGCAGGGAGAAUGGAGUCAUCUUCGUUCUCUGCUGAUCUGUGACACGAGGUAUUACGUUUUCUGAAUAACACAUCUAUCAUGCAAUAGGAUCAUAAAAUGCAAAAAAAUUCUCCUGAACAACCAUUGUGAUUGCUGGAUGAAGAUGAAAUCUUGUCAUGUUCUCCGUUAGUACUUGUCUCUUCAAGGGAAACUGUUGUACUUUCAGUAGAGCACACUUAUGGACUCUUGGUGACAUAUACAUCUGCUACAAAAAGGAGACAUUAAUCAUCACUUCGUUGAGGUACAGGGAAAGUGUGGGCCUGCAAAGGCGUGUGCAGAAGCAGCCAUCUCCAGAGAGGCAGCUGUGAAGAAGGAAGUCUUAAGCACCAGCUUAGAGUUCUCUGAGAGAUAUUGGAGUUUGCAGUUUGCAGAGAAAGGUCUUGGUUCCACUGCACAGUCUUGACAGGGCAAUAACAGAAAAGCAUGAUUUUUCUGGGCCCUGGAAAAAGGAAACAAGAAUACGACCUCUUACUUAUCCUGCCACUGUUGCCUGGUACAACCACUUAGGCCUAUGAAGAGUCUUAGACCUCAUGUAUGCUACUCUGCUAGCAUCUUGCAGUCACAAUUAGCAAAUGCCACACUUCUGUUUGACAGGAGAGUUUCUUUCUCAAUUCCUUUUCAUCCAUCUCACUUUGGACAUCUCAGUACAACAAACAAACAAAAUACCUGGUCACAGCAGCAUGGUACAUUCUGUAUUGUGCCUGCUGACAGCUGGAAAUGGAGCCGAAACCAAUCUCCUAUUCUGCUCAGUAGAUUAAAACAGCAGGUAAUAAAAUUAGUCAUGCUCAUCACGAGGCUGGUGUUUAAUUAAUGACCUAGCAGCAAAAGGCUCCCAGCUGAUCAUUACAACAGAUUCUAGAGAUUCCUUCAGUACAGUUUGCUGUGUAAGACUAUUGACAUGCAGACAGUGUGCAAACUGACUGGGAAAAAUGAAGUGGUGUCAAGAAUGUUUUGGCUGAAUUAACUCUGAAUAUGUCUUUGCUGCCCUGGGAUUUUGGUCUGAAACACAAUAUCAUUUGAAGGUACUUUGUAGCUUUCAAUAUCAUAUUCCAAUAAAAGGAAAGGAGUAGAAUGCUGACAGCCUGUAGUUGUACUUUGAAAGAAGACUGCAAAAAAUGUAUUUUGCUUGUUUGUUUUAAAGAUAUAAUUCAAGGAAUGUGUAUUUUGUUCUUGAAUCCUAAAGAUAAUCAGAAAAGGCCAUAGAUAUGCACUGGCUGAUUUAUUAGAAAAUUAAACCAACAUGCCACCAAAUAUUAAGAUUUUAGACGUUUUCUUAUUGAUUGUUGUGAUGAAGAUCACAGAUGUAUCAAGGGCACAUUCCACUGUUUAUCUGCACCUGAUAUGUAGUGAGAUCUUUACCUCUGCAUCUUAAAGGGAUGCUAUUUUUCUCUGGUAAAAAUUAAAAACCUCCUUCCCAUUAAUGUACAGAGGUAGAGGAUUUGGGAGACUACCUUUUAGGAUUCUGAGCUGCUUUGUCUUGUGUUCUUUGUUGGAGGACUGACUCAUGAUGAUAGCAAUAAAUUUAACAUUAUUUUAUUUGAUUUAGAGUUAGAGCCCUUGCUUCAGAAAUAGAGAUGAUGUCUUCUUAAUAUUGUUCUCUAAAGAGAAACUAGCCUUAUGCUGAAAAUAUGACACUUUUUCUUUUCUUUUUUUUUUUUUUUGAAUUGAUAAUGUGAAACAUUUGUACAAUAAGGAGAAAUAUUUUUAUGAAAGGCCUUUUCAUUACCUGCUGCUCAGCAGUUUGCAUUUAUGCACAUCCAUUUUUAACACAUCCAUGUUUAAGUUAGAAAAGAAUUGUUGGAUUGUGGGCUAUUCUGCUUCAGGAGGACUCAUAUCCUUCUGAAUAGCAACACAAGUAAAGCACAGAGAAACCUGGAUGCCAUCCUGAGCUUUAUUCAAUAAAUACAGCUCAUAGUCAGCGCUACAUGCCCUGUUUCUGAAAACCAGGCCAUGGAUUAUCCAAUUAAAUGCUCACCUUUGAAAGUUAAGAUGAUUAUUCUAUCUUCUAGUUCUUAAAAAACUCAAGGGAACUGCUUUCCUUGAUAUCUCAGUUGUGUCUUCACUCCUCCUGAGUCAGGAGUUGUGUGAGGCUGACUGAAACAGACAUUUUCCACUUGUUUUGUUAAUUCCAUUAGGAGCUUUAGCCCCCUAGAGGGAAUCAAUGCACAAAUUAACCAAAGAUUUAUGAAUCCCCAAAGGGAUAAUUUAAGGCUGUAUAAUGGUCCAGUGGAUUUUAAAUCUAGCUGAGAAAAUUUGCUCCUCUAACUUUCAUACUUGAUUUUCUUCUUGUCAAAAUAUAUGAGAAUUAGAUGAUUUUUCAUCCCCCCUGUUAAAAGACCUCCCAAAAAACUUCCUGCGGGGAUUAUAAAGAAAAUUACAAAUGGAUUUGAAAGGUUUUAUUUCAAAAUCUUUAUUGAAAGGACAGGCGACAUUCUUUAAUGUCAAAUUUUAAAGACAGAAAACCUACCUGCUAGCAACAAGCAUGAGGCUAUAAUGAGUAGAAGAGGUUGUCAUCUGGUGUGAAUCAGCACUACUCUAUUGAAGGAGACAAGCUCAGAGAAGCCAUAUUGUUUACAGUAAAUAAAAAUCUACCUUACUAUUUCUCACUGCCGUUAAUAGGUCUGAGAAAUGAUCAGAUGGUACUGAGGCUCAGAAAUCUCUGAAUGGCUCUAACUCUUCCUCCAGUCCCAUCCUCUGGUUAGCUUCCUUGUUGUCUAUUUUAAUUUCUGUUUUCUUUUAGGAGCAUGCUAACUUUUCUGUUAUUGAUGCCUUUCUGCCUCUACUGCUUUUGCAUUCUUUGGAUGAGCCCUUGAAGGCUUUUUACUUUUGCUAAGUUUUCUGAUCUUAUAGCAAACUCCCAUCUUAGCCUUUGGUAUUUUUUAUUUACCUAAUAUGAUUUUGAUCACAAGGAAAUUAUUUGGCAUUUGAUGAGUGUUCCACAUCUAAUUACUAACACGUUAUAAUUCAUUGUCAAGUGACUGAGCCUUUCAAAUAAAACAAUGCAGAAACAACUAA